RNAcentral lists this long non-coding RNA (528 nucleotides) under Rhinopithecus bieti (black snub-nosed monkey). Its description in RNAcentral is "lncRNA (ENSRBIG00000045360.1)". The record is from RNAcentral. Lineage: Eukaryota; Metazoa; Chordata; Mammalia; Primates; Cercopithecidae.
UGUCCACGGCGUAGUUCAGUAAGGGCCAAGCCACAGCCUAUGUGCUUGUCAAGAAACUGCUGGCUGAGAUAAAGUGUCUGAAUUAAUAAAAGCAUCUGACUGUGAAGCACUCCUGGAAAGGACUUUAACCUGAAAAGGAAUAAGGAAUAUUGCCAGCUGAAAUGAAGCCACAAUAUUGACAGGAAGUGGAGUCUGGCAACCACAAGUUUCCAAAGUGCACAUCUGCACUGGGGUCUGGAGAUUUCUGGAAGGGAAUCAGUCUGUGUCCUUUUUGCAGGUGCAUGAGAGGUACAGGAUCAAGAUCCUCAAAAAAAAAAAAAAAAAAAAAAAAAAAAAAAAAAAAGAAAGUCUGAGAAAGUCUCAAGAAGCCACAGGCUAGAAGAACCUAAGAAGACAUGAUGACUAAAUGUGAUGUGAUGUGAUGUUUUGGAUGAGAUCCUGGGACAGAAAAAGGAUAUUAGGUAAAUACGAAGGAAAUUGGAAAAAAAUAUGGACUUCAGUUAGUAAUAAUUUGUCAAUGUUGUUUCA